RNAcentral lists this ribosomal RNA (253 nucleotides) under uncultured bacterium. Its description in RNAcentral is "partial 16S ribosomal RNA". It matches the Rfam family "Bacterial small subunit ribosomal RNA", at positions 524 to 776 of the family's 1533-position model. The record is from RNAcentral.
UACAGAGGGGGCAAGCGUUGUUCGGAAUUACUGGGCGUAAAGAGCGUGUAGGCGGCCCGAUUAGUCCGCUGUGAAAGUCGAGGGCUCAACCCUCGAAUGCCGGCGGAUACUGUCGGGCUAGAGUCCGGAAGAGGCGAGUGGAAUUCCUGGUGUAGCGGUGAAAUGCGCAGAUAUCAGGAGGAACACCGAUGGCGAAGGCAGCUCGCUGGGACGGUACUGACGCUGAGACGCGAAAGCGUGGGGAGCAAACAGG